Molecule: ribosomal RNA, 564 nt
Filed under: Triticum aestivum (bread wheat)
Lineage: Eukaryota; Viridiplantae; Streptophyta; Magnoliopsida; Poales; Poaceae
Description: partial small subunit ribosomal RNA
Source: RNAcentral
AUGUGUUUUAAGUUUGAUAAUGUCUGGCUCAGUAAUCUAGACUUCCUCCCUCUGGUUGCUGAGAUUUGGUCUAGGCCAGUCUACACUUCAAACCCCAUUGACUCCUUGAAUAUUAAGCUUAAGAGAAUUAAGAAAAUUUUUAAGGGUUGGGGGUCCAACUUGUUUGGUCAUAAUAAGAUCAGGAAGAAUAUCAUCAAGCUCGAAUUGCAGGAGCUUGAAAAACUGGAGGAGGCUGAUGGUUUAUGCGGGGAAGCUUAUACUAGGAAGUUGGAUAUUCUAGUAGAGCUUAAUAAGAUGUAUGUUGAAGAAGAACUUCACUGGCAUCAAUUCUCUAAUGAGAGGUGGCUUUUGAAAGGAGAUAACAACACUUACUUUUUCCAUAAAGUAGCUAAUGGUCGUCGUAGGAAGAACUCCAUGAUCUCCCUGGAGUGUGGAUCCACUAUCAUUGAAGGUACUAAAAACCUACUUGUCCAUGCUACUGAGUAUUAUAAAGCCUUGUUUCGACCUACUCCUGGCAAUAUUUGUCAGAUAGAUGCUGCUUUGUGGUCUCAGGAUGAGAUGAUC